RNAcentral lists this ribosomal RNA (794 nucleotides) under uncultured Pelagibacteraceae bacterium. RNAcentral's name for it is "bacterial SSU rRNA". It matches the Rfam family "Bacterial small subunit ribosomal RNA", at positions 44 to 887 of the family's 1533-position model. The record is from RNAcentral. Lineage: Bacteria; Pseudomonadati; Pseudomonadota; Alphaproteobacteria; Candidatus Pelagibacterales; Candidatus Pelagibacteraceae.
ACGCCUUAUACAUGCAAGUCGAACGGAGUAGCAAUACUCAGUGGCAGACGGGUGAGUAACAUGUGGGUAUCUUCCCUUUGGUGAGGAAUAACACGAGGAAACUUGUGCUAAUACCUCAUAAGUCUUUACGGAGAAAGCUUUAUGCGCCAAUGGAUGAGCCCGCACUUGAUUAGUUUGUUGGCAGGGUAAUGGCCUACCAAGACUUUGAUCAAUAGCUGAUUUGAGAGGAUGAUCAGCCACAUUGGGACUGAGACACGGCCCAAACUCCUACGGGAGGCAGCAGUAGGGAAUCUUGCACAAUGGAGGAAACUCUGAUGCAGCGAUGCCGCGUGAGUGAAGAAGGCCUUUGGGUUGUAAAGCUCUUUCGUCGGGGAAGAAAAUGACUGUACCCGAAUAAGAAGGUCCGGCUAACUUCGUGCCAGCAGCCGCGGUAAUACGAAGGGACCUAGCGUAGUUCGGAAUUACUGGGCUUAAAGAGUUCGUAGGUGGUUAAAAAAGUUGGUGGUGAAAUCCCAGAGCUUAACUCUGGAACUGCCAUCAAAACUUUUUAGCUAGAGUAUGAUAGAGGAAAGCAGAAUUUCUAGUGUAGAGGUGAAAUUCGUAGAUAUUAGAAAGAAUACCAAUUGCGAAGGCAGCUUUCUGGAUCAUUACUGACACUGAGGAACGAAAGCAUGGGUAGCGAAGAGGAUUAGAUACCCUCGUAGUCCAUGCCGUAAACGAUGUGUGUUAGACGUUGGAAUUUUAUUUCAGUGUCGCAGUGAAAACAAUAAACACACCGCCUGGGGAGUACGACC